This 407-nucleotide ribosomal RNA is filed under the name uncultured bacterium. Its description in RNAcentral is "partial 16S ribosomal RNA". It matches the Rfam family "Bacterial small subunit ribosomal RNA", at positions 28 to 526 of the family's 1533-position model. The record is from RNAcentral.
GACGAACGCUGGCGGCGUGCCUAAUACAUGCAAGUAGAACGCAGUUGCGAACGGGUGAGUAACGAGUAGGUAACUGCCUGGUAGCGGGGGAUAACUAUUGGAAAUGAUAGCUAAUACCGCAUACUACCAGAUGGACCUGCGUUGUAUUAGCUAGUUGGUGGGGUAACGGCUCACCAAGGCAACGAGACAUAGCCGACCUGAGAGGGUGAUCCGCCAAACUGGGACUGGGAAAAGGCCCAGACUUCUACGGGGUGGAGCAGGAGGGAAUCUGCGGCGAUGGGGUGAAACCUGAACGAGCAACGCCGCGUGAGUGAAGAAGGUUUUCGGAUCGUAAAGCUCUGUUGUUAAGGAAGCGGUACUUAAACAGAAAGGGACGGCUAACUACGUGCCAGCAGCCGCGGUAAUAC